This 253-nucleotide ribosomal RNA is filed under the name uncultured bacterium. RNAcentral describes it as "partial 16S ribosomal RNA". It matches the Rfam family "Bacterial small subunit ribosomal RNA", at positions 524 to 776 of the family's 1533-position model. The record is from RNAcentral.
UACGUAGGGGGCUAGCGUUGUCCGGAAUCAUUGGGCGUAAAGCGCGUGUAGGCGGCUAGAUAAGUCUGCUCUGAAAGCCCGGGGCUCAACCCCGGGAGGCGGGUGGAUACUGUCUAGCUCGAGUCCGGAAGAGGAGUGUGGAAUUCCUGGUGUAGCGGUGAAAUGCGCAGAUAUCAGGAAGAACACCAAUGGCGAAGGCAGCACUCUGGGACGUGACUGACGCUGAGACGCGAAAGCGUGGGGAGCAAACAGG